GACGAGCGGCGGACGGGUGAGUAAUGCAUAGGAAUCUGCCCGAUAGUGGGGGAUAACCUGGGGAAACCCAGGCUAAUACCGCAUACGUCCUACGGGAGAAAGGGGGCUUCGGCUCCCGCUAUUGGAUGAGCCUAUGUCGGAUUAGCUAGUUGGUAAGGUAAUGGCUUACCAAGGCAACGAUCCGUAGCUGGUCUGAGAGGAUGAUCAGCCACAUCGGGACUGAGACACGGCCCGAACUCCUACGGGAGGCAGCAGUGGGGAAUAUUGGACAAUGGGGGCAACCCUGAUCCAGCCAUGCCGCGUGUGUGAAGAAGGCCCUCGGGUUGUAAAGCACUUUCAGCGAGGAAGAACGCCUAUCGGUUAAUACCCGGUAGGAAAGACAUCACUCGCAGAAGAAGCACCGGCUAACUCCGUGCCAGCAGCCGCGGUAAUACGGAGGGUGCAAGCGUUAAUCGGAAUUACUGGGCGUAAAGCGCGCGUAGGUGGCUUGAUAAGCCGGUUGUGAAAGCCCCGGGCUCAACCUGGGAACGGCAUCCGGAACUGUCAGGCUAGAGUGCAGGAGAGGAAGGUAGAAUUCCCGGUGUAGCGGUGAAAUGCGUAGAGAUCGGGAGGAAUACCAGUGGCGAAGGCGGCCUUCUGGACUGACACUGACACUGAGGUGCGAAAGCGUGGGUAGCAAACAGGAUUAGAUACCCUGGUAGUCCACGCCGUAAACGAUGUCGACCAGCCGUUGGGUGCCUAGAGCACUUUGUGGCGAAGUUAACGCGAUAAGUCGACCGCCUGGGGAGUACGGCCGCAAG
Molecule: ribosomal RNA, 800 nt
Filed under: Halomonas sp. K7
Lineage: Bacteria; Pseudomonadati; Pseudomonadota; Gammaproteobacteria; Oceanospirillales; Halomonadaceae
Description: bacterial SSU rRNA
Rfam family: Bacterial small subunit ribosomal RNA
Source: RNAcentral